This 367-nucleotide small RNA is filed under the name Pan troglodytes (chimpanzee). RNAcentral's name for it is "retained intron". Lineage: Eukaryota; Metazoa; Chordata; Mammalia; Primates; Hominidae. The record is from RNAcentral.
CUUGAUGCUGAAAGUGGCCCACCAGCCUCCAUAUACACAGCCCCAUUGUUCUCCUAGACAAGGCCAUGAACUGGCAAAACAAGAGAUUCGAGUGAGGGUUGAAAAGGAUCCAGAACUUGGAUUUAGCAUAUCAGGUGGUGUCGGGGGUAGAGGAAACCCAUUCAGACCUGACGAUGAUGUAAGUUUUCUUUGUAUAUUCUUGAAACAGCUAUAAAGUUUUAUUUACCGAUUGAAUACUUAAAUGUAAGUGAAAAUCUAAUAGAUGUUUAUGUAAAUCUAGGUAGACAUCACCUGGAUUCCCCACUCUAUUGCUUACCUUUUUGUUUUGUAAUUUGAUCAGUUCAAGUUAAAACAAUUUAACCAAAAA